Molecule: small RNA, 494 nt
Filed under: Pan troglodytes (chimpanzee)
Lineage: Eukaryota; Metazoa; Chordata; Mammalia; Primates; Hominidae
Description: processed transcript
Source: RNAcentral
AGUGCGGUUUCGCCUUUAUGGUGGUGGAGUCCGCCCAGGCUGUGGGACUAUCAGUCCUCCCUGUGCGGCCAGUUCGGAGAGGCUGCACGCUCUCUCGGCUCACUGCAACCUCUGCAACCUCUGCCUCCAGGGUCAAGCAGUUCUCCUGCCUCAGCCUUCCGAGUACCUGGGAUUACAGAUUCAUAAGCUGGCCUGAGGUGAUCUUGGCAUCAAGGAAGGGAUGCACAUCAUCACACCAUCAGCUUCAGAGCAUGGCAGCCAUUUAUUUGUCCCGUGGGUUUUUUUCCAGGGAACCAAUCUGCCCUUUUGAAGAAAAGACAAAGGUAGAAAGGAUGGUGGAGGACUCCCUGGCAAAUGGUUAUCAGGUAUCUGCAGUGUGCUGAGGAGUGUGCUGCAUAGACACCAAUGGGACAGGAAGAGCUCCUAGCCUGGUUGUGCUGAGAUCAAGCGUAAGCAGUGUGCAGUGGCUUAUGCCUAUAAUUCCAGCUACUCAG